AACGAUAUCGCUCCCGCCUGUUCAGCAAAGCCCAUUUCUUCGGGCCCAAUCAGCGCAGAAUCCGGUCCACGACGACUCUUCACCCCACCCUCUCCUCCUCCAACUAGUCAGGCUGCUAGUGCUACCUUUCAAAAAACCCCUACAUCCUGCCAUACAUCCAUCCGCCGCCGCCGCCGCCGCCAUCUCCUCCCACUCUCUUCCCACUCCGACGAAACCCUAUUCAGUAUCCAUCUCUCCAUCCAUGGCGUGGCGCGGCCCCGCCACCCGGGCCGUCCUCGCCGCCGUCCGCCGCCCGGCAGCGGCCGCGCGCCUCCACGCCCCGCGCCGCCGCGUCCCGCCCGCCUUCGCCACCACCUCCUCCCCGCUCCCGUCCGCGCGGCCUCUGGCGGCGUUGAUGGGGUCCCCGGUGACGGUGGCCGCCGUGAUGGCGCGUCUCACGGCGCAUCCCGGCGCCAGCGCGCGCGCGUGCUGCGAGCUUUCCCAGGGGAGUGGGAAAGAUGGUUGAUGCUGGAGGCUGCCCAACUUGAUGGGGACCUUCCGUCCUAGAAUGAUGAUGAAACGGAAAAGAUGGGUGAUGCAAGAGAGGCCAUCGUAGAGCCUGCCAAAGGUACUUGAAUCUGUUGUGUAGAUCCCAUCCUUUCGAAAGGAUAAAUGAUGUGUCUUUUGGGGGAAUAAAAGCUAUUAUGGCAUUUCUUCCACAGCAAAGUUCGAAGAAAUUACCCAACAAUAGCUAGUUUCCUCGUUAGGAUUUCGAGAAGACUUAAUAAUUUUAACGUUACAUGGCAUGGUUUUGGUGUUUAAAACAGCUAUUGACGAAUAAUUUUAAUGUUGGUUUCACAUGAGUUAAAUGAUGUUUGCACAAGAUGUUGACAUUUUUGAAUGAAAUCAUUGGCGACUUAAUCUG
Zea mays is the source of this 904-nucleotide RNA transcript. RefSeq lists it as uncharacterized. The transcript is spliced from 5 exons. Lineage: Eukaryota; Viridiplantae; Streptophyta; Magnoliopsida; Poales; Poaceae. The record is from RefSeq and is a predicted model, not a curated record.